AACGAACGCUGGCGGCAUGCCUAACACAUGCAAGUCGAACGAGACCUUCCGUUCUAGUGUCGCACGGGUGCGUAACGCUUGGUAACCUGCCCUUAGGCUCGGAAUAACUCCCCGAAAGGGGUGCUAAUACCGGAUUAUUUCUUCGUACCAAAGAUUUAUCGCCUUUGGAUGGGGCCGCGUUGGAUUGGCUAGUUGGUAGGGUAAAAGCCUACCAAGUCGACGAUCCAUAGCUGGUCUGAGAGGAUGAUCAGCCAGACUGGGACUGAGACACGGCCCAGACUCGUACGGGAGGCAGCAGUGGGGAAUAUUGGACAAUGGGCGAAAGCCUGAUCCAGCGAGGCCGCGUGAGUGAUGAAGGGGUUAGGGUUGUAAAGCUCUUUUACCCGGGAUGAUAAUGACAGUACCGGGAGAAUAAGCACCGGCUAACUCCGUG
This 433-nucleotide ribosomal RNA is filed under the name uncultured bacterium. RNAcentral's name for it is "partial 16S ribosomal RNA". It matches the Rfam family "Bacterial small subunit ribosomal RNA", at positions 29 to 507 of the family's 1533-position model. The record is from RNAcentral.